This 429-nucleotide ribosomal RNA is filed under the name Triticum aestivum (bread wheat). Its description in RNAcentral is "partial small subunit ribosomal RNA". The record is from RNAcentral. Lineage: Eukaryota; Viridiplantae; Streptophyta; Magnoliopsida; Poales; Poaceae.
AUGGAUCCAACCAAGGGGAAAUCAAUCAUCUCUUAUGACUGCACAUUACUUCAGGCUGAUACAGCACCCCCACCGCCCAUCCCCCAGUGGGCUGCACCACCGGAGGGGUGGGUAAAGCUAAACAAGGACGGAUCUUUUGAUGCCGGCAGGGCUGGAGCAGGUAUGGUACUACGGGACCCUUUGGGAGGCUUAAUCUUUUCAGCGUGCAGAACACUUUACUCGUGUCAUGAAGCUUUGGAGGCAGAGCUGUGUGCUUGCAUGGAGGGGUUAUCUCGUGCGAUCCAGCGAAGUGAUCGUCCAGUGGCCAUUGAGAUGGAUUCACUUGUUGCUAUAAAGUUGAUCCAAGGGCAAGAGAAAGAUAGUAAUGUUUGCAAUAAGCUAAUAGGACGUGCCUCCAUGCAACAACAACAACAACAACAACAACAAUAA